UACGAAGGGAGCUAGCGUUGUUCGGAAUUACUGGGCGUAAAGGGCGCGUAGGCGGCUUCGCUAGUUGGGCGUGAAAUGCCUGGGCUUAACCCAGGAAUUGCGCCCAAUACUUCGAGGCUCGAGUGUGGGAGAGGAUAGUGGAAUUCCCAGUGUAGAGGUGAAAUUCGUAGAUAUCAGGAAGAACACCCGUGGCGAAGGCGGCUCUCUGGGACGGUACUGACGCUGAGACGCGAAAGCGUGGGGAGCGAACAGG
Molecule: ribosomal RNA, 253 nt
Filed under: uncultured bacterium
Lineage: Bacteria
Description: partial 16S ribosomal RNA
Rfam family: Bacterial small subunit ribosomal RNA
Source: RNAcentral